This 561-nucleotide ribosomal RNA is filed under the name uncultured bacterium. RNAcentral describes it as "partial 16S ribosomal RNA". It matches the Rfam family "Bacterial small subunit ribosomal RNA", at positions 355 to 909 of the family's 1533-position model. The record is from RNAcentral.
UGGGGAAUUUUGGACAAUGGGCGAAAGCCUGAUCCAGCAAUGCCGCGUGUGUGAAGAAGGCCUUCGGGUUGUAAAGCACUUUUGUCCGGAAAGAAAUCCUUGGCUCUAAUACAGUCGGGGGAUGACGGUACCGGAAGAAUAAGCACCGGCUAACUACGUGCCAGCAGCCGCGGUAAUACGUAGGGUGCAAGCGUUAAUCGGAAUUACUGGGCGUAAAGCGUGCGCAGGCGGUCUGCUAAGACCGAUGUGAAAUCCCCGGGCUCAACCUGGGAACUGCAUUGGUGACUGGCAGGCUAGAGUAUGGCAGAGGGGGGUAGAAUUCCACGUGUAGCAGUGAAAUGCGUAGAGAUGUGGAGGAAUACCGAUGGCGAAGGCAGCCCCCUGGGCCAAUACUGACGCUCAUGCACGAAAGCGUGGGGAGCAAACAGGAUUAGAUACCCUGGUAGUCCACGCCCUAAACGAUGUCAACUAGUUGUUGGGGAUUCAUUUCCUUAGUAACGUAGCUAACGCGUGAAGUUGACCGCCUGGGGAGUACGGUCGCAAGAUUAAAACUCAAAUGAA